GUGACUUCUUGCUUUUCUUCAAUAGCUUUAAAUUAUUAGUUUGAUUAUUAAUUUACUUCUUAGGUUUCAUUUGUUUUGUGAAAAAUAUUAUCGUGGAAGAUAUUUUUUCUUGUCGAAAGAAAAACUAAGCCAUUUUUAAGAAAAAUGACUUUCCCUGCUCAAAAGAGGAAGUCAUUUUCCUGAAUUUGAUAAUCUUAUUAGAUUGUAAAAACACUUAUACAUGUAUGACAUAAACAAAUUUCAUUAGUUUAACAUUGCAAUCAA
This 264-nucleotide unclassified non-coding RNA is filed under the name Hevea brasiliensis (rubber tree). The record is from RNAcentral. Lineage: Eukaryota; Viridiplantae; Streptophyta; Magnoliopsida; Malpighiales; Euphorbiaceae.